CCCCUCCUGUUUUGCCAGGCGUCCGGGAGCUGGAUGGUGUCUCCAGGGCUACCGAGUGGCCGCGGGGCUGGCUGGUCUGACACCACCUGUCAGGGACUUGGACACCUCCUAUUUUGUUGCAUCACCAUCCCUAAGGUGUUGCCUUUGUCUACGUGGUCCCAAAUGAGUCCUUGUUCUAGGCAGCAGAAUGAGGGAGAAGAAAAAGAAGGCAUCUCCUCCAUCCUCUCCCUGGACCCCGUCCCCCGCUAUUUAAAGUUGCCAAACACUACAUUGAUUUCCAUCUACCAUCCCAUAAGCAUCUGAAUGCAGAGUUCCAAAGAAUAGCAAGGACAGAUAAGAAAGCCUUCCUCAGCGAUCAAUGCAAAGAAAUAGAGGAAAACAA
Long non-coding RNA from Bos taurus (domestic cattle), 382 nucleotides. The record is from Ensembl. Lineage: Eukaryota; Metazoa; Chordata; Mammalia; Artiodactyla; Bovidae.